RNAcentral lists this ribosomal RNA (500 nucleotides) under uncultured bacterium. RNAcentral's name for it is "bacterial SSU rRNA". It matches the Rfam family "Bacterial small subunit ribosomal RNA", at positions 21 to 507 of the family's 1533-position model. The record is from RNAcentral.
GGCUCAGGAUGAACGCUAGCUACAGGCUUAACACAUGCAAGUCGAGGGGAAACGACAUCGAAAGCUUGCUUUUGAUGGGCGUCGACCGGCGCACGGGUGAGUAACGCGUAUCCAACCUGCCCAUCACUUGGGGAUAACCUUGCGAAAGUAAGACUAAUACCCAAUGAUAUCUCUAGAAGACAUCUGAAGGAGAUUAAAGAUUUAUCGGUGAUGGAUGGGGAUGCGUCUGAUUAGCUUGUUGGCGGGGUAACGGCCCACCAAGGCAACGAUCAGUAGGGGGUUCUGAGAGGAAGGUCCCCCACAUUGGAACUGAGACACGGUCCAAACUCCUACGGGAGGCAGCAGUGAGGAAUAUUGGUCAAUGGACGAGAGUCUGAACCAGCCAAGUAGCGUGCAGGAUGACGGCCCUAUGGGUUGUAAACUGCUUUUAUAAGGGAAUAAAGUGAGCCUCGUGAGGCUUUUUGCAUGUACCUUAUGAAUAAGGACCGGCUAAUUCCGUG